CGGACGGGUGAGUAACGCGUGGAUAACCUGCCUCACACUGGGGGAUAACAGUUAGAAAUGGCUGCUAAUACCGCAUAAGCGCACAGUACCGCAUGGUACGGUGUGAAAGACCCAGGUGGUGUGAGAUGGAUCCGCGUUUGAUUAGCCAGUUGGCGGGGUAACGGCCCACCAAAGCGACGAUCAGUAGCCGACCUGAGAGGGUGACCGGCCACAUUGGGACUGAGACACGGCCCAA
Molecule: ribosomal RNA, 235 nt
Filed under: uncultured bacterium
Lineage: Bacteria
Description: partial 16S ribosomal RNA
Rfam family: Bacterial small subunit ribosomal RNA
Source: RNAcentral